This 447-nucleotide ribosomal RNA is filed under the name uncultured bacterium. RNAcentral's name for it is "bacterial SSU rRNA". It matches the Rfam family "Bacterial small subunit ribosomal RNA", at positions 355 to 825 of the family's 1533-position model. The record is from RNAcentral.
UGGGGAGUCUUGGACAAUGGGCGCAAGCCUGAUCCAGCCAUGCCGCGUGGAUGAUGAAGGCCCUAGGGUUGUAAAAUCCUUUCGUUGGGGACGAUAAUGACGGUACCCAAAGAAGAAGCUCCGGCUAACUUCGUGCCAGCAGCCGCGGUAAUACGAAGGGGGCUAGCGUUGUUCGGAUUUACUGGGCGUAAAGCGCGUGUAGGCGGGUCGUUAAGUUGGGGGUGAAAUCCCGAGGCUCAACCUCGGAACUGCCUUCAAAACUGGCGACCUGGACCCAAGUAGAGGCAAGUGGAAUUGCGAGUGUAGAGGUGAAAUUCGUAGAUAUUCGCAGGAACACCAGUGGCGAAGGCGACUUGCUGGACUUGUGGUGACGCUGAGACGCGAAAGCGUGGGGAGCAAACAGGAUUAGAUACCCGGGUAGUCCCUGAGCGGGCUGGCAAGGCGCAU